CCAAUUUAUUUUUUCUUCUGAUGCUUCUCGGUUCUUCUCGCCUUUUCACCCUUUCAAUUAUCCAUCGCCCUAUUUUUUUAUCUCCCCACCGCCCCUUACUUUUGAGGUUUUCCAAGUUUUCUCUGAGCUGCUUUGGCCGGUGAAUACAUUUCACCCUCCACUGCUUCACCGACGUUGUAAGCCAAUUAGAUUAGGAUUGGUGUCAUUUCUCUAGCUACCGAUUGCUUCAUCUAAUAUCUUCCCGAUCGUUCUAAUUUUUUCAUCGCACUCUUCUCAACCAAUCAUCACUCACACCACUAAGGAUUUUCAAUCCAGAAUCCAACUACCUCUUUUCUCACGUCCACCGUGUGAUGGUUUCGCCGGCGGAUUCCCUGUUUCCAUUCCCGACUCCCUUUUCUUGCCUCUUUGUUAACGACCCCUUUUGGUGGAAUUUCGUCGCCUCACUACCACCAACAGUCUUAUGUGCCGAGCCUGAAGACUUCAUGGUGGGUUUUCGUUCUUGGCGGUGACGGUUCCAUCAAAGCUACUUGCGACAAGGUAAUUUUCCUUGCUUCUUUUGGUAGCUUCAUAUUUUGUUCAUUCGAAAUCAGGUGGCCUACCCUUUUCAGUUUCCCAACAUUAAUCUACCUUUCAUGUCUCAUUGAAGACCUGGAAACCCCAAUACUGGCAGGAUUGCUCUUGCUAAGAAAAAUUGAAGUGUGUGACUGGAUUAAUGGAUAGUAGGUCACUCAAUUUCCUUACAGCUGAGGUCAAAUCCAUUACAGUUUAAUAGAACAGGUCUCCAAUUACACAUGAAAUUUAAUUAUGCCCUACCCAGUUGAUAUUGAAUUUUUAAGUUGAGUUUCACAAUGUAUCCUAGCUGCUUGAUGAAAUGCUUGAACCAGAUUGUCCUUUACUAUAUUUUUUUCCGCGCUUACUACAGCCUGUUCAGGGGUUUGUGGAAGUUGAUGAUGAUUACAUUCAAGAUGAUUUCAACCUCUGUGUGUUAAGCAUUCAAGUUCCUUAUUUUUAUUUUGCACUUGAUCUAAUCUUAGAUGUAGAAUCUUUUGAUGGUAAGUUGUAUUAUUGUUUUCUGAAUCUUGGAUAUUUUUUUACAUUAAAACUACUAAUCUAUUCAAUCUUUUUAUAGAAGCAAUUGUAAUUGAUAUCAACAUCAAAAUAUUAUACAUACCCAACACAUUAAAGAAAUAUUCUUUUCUCUUAGCAAA
This is a non-coding RNA of Lactuca sativa (garden lettuce), 1208 nucleotides long. Lineage: Eukaryota; Viridiplantae; Streptophyta; Magnoliopsida; Asterales; Asteraceae. The record is from RefSeq and is a predicted model, not a curated record.